AUUGAACGCUGGCGGCAGGCCUAACACAUGCAAGUCGAGCGGACGGAGGGGGCUUUUUCCUGGAUUCAGCGGCGGACGGGUGGGUGAUGCACAGGAGUAUGCCUGGCCUUUGGGGAUGACGUCCGGAAACGGGCGCUAAUAUCACAUACGACAUGAUGUUGAAACGGGUGGAUCAUUGGACAUCGCCCUAUCAGAUGAGCCUAGUCCGGAUUAGCUAGUUGGUUGGGUAAAGGCUUACCAAGACGACGAUCCGUAACUGGUCUGAGAGGAUGAUCAGCCACACUGGAACUGAGACACGGUCCAGACUCCUACGGGAGGCAGCAGUGGGGAAUCUUCCGCAAUGGGCGAAAGCCUGACCCAGCAAUGCCGCGUGUGUGAUGAAGGUCUUCGGAUCGUAAAGCUCUUUUAGUAGGGAGGAACAGAAGUAAAUUUAUCCCUGGCCGUCUUGACGGUACCUACUCAAAAAGCCACGGCUAACUACGUG
Molecule: ribosomal RNA, 484 nt
Filed under: uncultured bacterium
Lineage: Bacteria
Description: partial 16S ribosomal RNA
Rfam family: Bacterial small subunit ribosomal RNA
Source: RNAcentral